GCCUCCUCUACCGAUCGAUCUUUUAAUGAGCUUGUCGGAUUGGACCCGGGGAGCAGUCGUUGCCCUCCAUNUCCUCACGGGGUGGGCCUUCUUCUGCUAGCUUAGGUGUUUGCCGAGAAGAUCGGUCAUUAUCUGGAGUCCUAGGAAGAAGAUGUUAAUCAAUGUAUCCGGACUUCAACCUGCGGAUGGAUCAUUA
Molecule: ribosomal RNA, 196 nt
Filed under: Tridacna crocea
Lineage: Eukaryota; Metazoa; Mollusca; Bivalvia; Cardiida; Cardiidae
Description: partial 18S ribosomal RNA
Source: RNAcentral